Molecule: ribosomal RNA, 492 nt
Filed under: uncultured bacterium
Lineage: Bacteria
Description: partial 16S ribosomal RNA
Rfam family: Bacterial small subunit ribosomal RNA
Source: RNAcentral
AUUGAACGCUGGCGGCAUGCUUUACACAUGCAAGUCGAACGGUAACAGGCCUUCGGGUGCUGACGAGUGGCGAACGGGUGAGUAAUACAUCGGAACGUACCCAGAGGUGGGGGAUAACGCAGCGAAAGCUGUGCUAAUACCGCAUGUGAUCUGAGGAUGAAAGCGGGGGACCGAGCAGCAAUGUUUGGCCUCGCGCCUUUGGAGCGGCCGAUGUCGGAUUAGCUAGUUGGUGGGGUAAAGGCCUACCAAGGCGACGAUCCGUAGCUGGUCUGAGAGGACGACCAGCCACACUGGGACUGAGACACGGCCUAGACUCCUACGGGAGGCAGCAGUGGGGAAUUUUGGACAAUGGGCGCAAACCUGAUCCAGCAAUGCCGCGUGCGGGAAGAAGGCCUUCGGGUUGUAAACCGCUUUUGGCAGGAACGAAACGGUGUCCGCUAAUACCGGGCGCUAAUGACGGUACCUGCAGAAUAAGCACCGGCUAACUACGUG